GUCAUACGCACGUUCAGUGGUUAUAUUUAUAAUAAUUUAUAAUAAUUAAAUUCAAAAGUUUAUUUAUUUCAAAUUCUUUUCAUAAAUAUGGGAAAAGGCAAAGGUGGUGGAGGUGGUGGUGGAGCUAAAGGUGGAGAUAAUAAGAAAGGCGGCGGAGGGGCGGGAGCGAAAGGAUCUGAAGCAAAGGCCGACGCGAAGGGAGGAAAUAAAGGCGGAAAAAAAGGUGGAAAAAAAUGAUUACGGACCCGUUUAUAUUUUUAUUUAAAUUAUCAUUAUAUAAAUUAAACUGUAAGUUGGUUAAUAAAAAUAAUUUAUAAACUA
Molecule: long non-coding RNA, 321 nt
Organism: Microplitis demolitor
Lineage: Eukaryota; Metazoa; Arthropoda; Insecta; Hymenoptera; Braconidae
Exons: 4
Source: RefSeq, a predicted model, not a curated record